This 468-nucleotide ribosomal RNA is filed under the name uncultured bacterium. RNAcentral's name for it is "partial 16S ribosomal RNA". It matches the Rfam family "Bacterial small subunit ribosomal RNA", at positions 28 to 507 of the family's 1533-position model. The record is from RNAcentral.
GACGAACGCUGGCGGCGUGCUUAACACAUGCAAGUCGAACGGAAAGGCCCUGCUUUUGUGUGGUGCUCGAGUGGCGAACGGGUGAGUAACACGUGAAUAACCUGCCCUUGACUUUAGGAUAACUUCAGGCAACCGGUGCUAAUACCGGCUACGAGCUCCUGCUGCAUGGUGGGGUUUGGACAGUUUCGGCGGUUGGGGAUGGACUCGCGGCUUAUGAGCUUGUUGGUGGGGUAGUGGCUUACCAAGGCUUUGAUGGGUAGUCCGCCUGAGAGGGGGAACGGCCACAUUGGGACUGAGGUACGGCCCAGAGUCCUACGUGAGGCAGCAGUGGGGAAUAUUGCACAAUGGGCGGAAGCGUGAUGCAGAAACGUCGCGUGCGGGAUGAAGGCCUUCGGGUUGGAAACCGCAGUCGCCUGAGACGAAGCGGGAUUGACGGUAAUGAGUAAAGAAGCACCGGCUAACUACGUG